Molecule: ribosomal RNA, 465 nt
Filed under: Vreelandella stevensii
Lineage: Bacteria; Pseudomonadati; Pseudomonadota; Gammaproteobacteria; Oceanospirillales; Halomonadaceae
Description: partial 16S ribosomal RNA
Rfam family: Bacterial small subunit ribosomal RNA
Source: RNAcentral
CCUACGGGGCGCAGCAGUGGGGAAUAUUGGACAAUGGGCGAAAGCCUGAUCCAGCCAUGCCGCGUGUGUGAAGAAGGCCUUCGGGUUGUAAAGCACUUUCAGUGGGGAAGAAAGCCUUGGGGCUAAUACCCUCGAGGAAGGACAUCACCCACAGAAGAAGCACCGGCUAACUCCGUGCCAGCAGCCGCGGUAAUACGGAGGGUGCGAGCGUUAAUCGGAAUUACUGGGCGUAAAGCGCGCGUAGGCGGUCUGAUAAGCCGGUUGUGAAAGCCCCGGGCUCAACCUGGGAACGGCAUCCGGAACUGUCAGGCUAGAGUGCAGGAGAGGAAGGUAGAAUUCCCGGUGUAGCGGUGAAAUGCGGAGAGAUCGGGAGGAAUACCAGUGGCGAAGGCGGCCUUCUGGACUGACACUGACGCUGAGGUGCGAAAGCGUGGGUAGCAAACAGGAUUAGAUACCCCAGUAGUC